This 230-nucleotide unclassified non-coding RNA is filed under the name Hevea brasiliensis (rubber tree). The record is from RNAcentral. Lineage: Eukaryota; Viridiplantae; Streptophyta; Magnoliopsida; Malpighiales; Euphorbiaceae.
GAAGAAUCCGUAGACAUAUUCCGAAAACCCAAAAAGGGUUUACCGAUAGUGGGAUGGUGAAGCCGGUGGAAGGCGGCAGAAGUCAUUCUAGGACUGGGAGGAAGUGGGUGUUUGUAAAACCCUAUGGGAUGAGAAAGAGGUAAAGAAAGAAGGGGAUUAAGGGAUAGAACUGGAGGCGGUAACGAUGGGUUUCUGCUUAACAGUUUCUGCAUACCUUUGGUGCAUUUCAC